This 282-nucleotide unclassified non-coding RNA is filed under the name Hevea brasiliensis (rubber tree). Lineage: Eukaryota; Viridiplantae; Streptophyta; Magnoliopsida; Malpighiales; Euphorbiaceae. The record is from RNAcentral.
UUGGCUUGCUCGCUACUGGGGCUUAGCUGCAAAAUAUGGCAUCUGUGCAGAUGUUGCUGUGUCAAAACAUGAAUAUUGGUCAUCCUUAGCACCUCUUCCAUUUGAGGUUGUUGUUUCUGCUGGACAAAAGGCAAAAGAGGAAUGUUGGGAAAAAGGUGAUGGUGACAAUGAAAAGAGAAGCAAACUUGCUCAGGACCUUAGUGAUCUAACUGGAGAAGGGAACAUUGAGAGUAUGCUUUCAGUUGAAAUGGGGUUGAAGGAGCUUGCUUCUUUGAAGGUUGA